This is a long non-coding RNA of Phyllostomus discolor (pale spear-nosed bat), 506 nucleotides long. RefSeq lists it as uncharacterized. The record is from RefSeq and is a predicted model, not a curated record. Lineage: Eukaryota; Metazoa; Chordata; Mammalia; Chiroptera; Phyllostomidae. The transcript is spliced from 3 exons.
CCUGCUCACCCCUAGAGAUGUAGAGGUUAAUUCCACUUGAUGCCAGUUUACACACAGCUGGGAACAGUGGAACAAAUAAGUAAUCGCACUACAAGAGCAGACUUGCUAAAAUAUGGGCCAGUUUUGAGUGCCCAUGAGCCCAGGCAGGAGGAGUCAGGACAGCUCCACAAGGAUAGGACUCUUACACUAUGUCUUGUUUCACUUAGCAAAGCGCCCCCACAAGGCUCUGUACUGCCUCCUGGUGGCCUGGAGGACUCAUAGCAGUUGUGGAAAUAAUGCAGGCCCUUGGGGCUGAGUUCAGAAAUGAAAGACAAUCAGAGGAAUGUGGACUGCAAAAACAAGCACACAGAAGGAAAAUAGAGCUCAUCAGGCUCAAGGCAGUCCAAAAUGAAGACUCGGGCUUCAUCAGCAUAGACAGAAGGAGCCCCAGGAGAAGACCUCUGGUUCUGGCUCAAAAACAUCAGGAAUGAAGAAAAGCCACAAAAAUGGUAAAUGGCUGAGUAAAU